GUCAACGGCCGGGAGGGGGCUGAGGCGAGGGGGGGGGCGCAGGCGGUGGAGCGGUGCUGAGGGGCUGAGCGACCUGGUGUUAGCUUUGUGUCAGCUGCAUCGCUAACACAAAAGCUUGAAGCUAUAAAAGCCUGAAAGCAAGCAUCUCUCCUAUAGAGUAGUCUGUGGUUUGGUGAUACCCCAGGAAAAAAGGAGGCACAGAAUCCAGGAGGAAAGACAGAAAUUCAUCUCAUGCUUCUAGGCAGGUGCCCCAGCCACUAGGUUAUUGGCUUCCAGAAGUUUCCUAUUGUCCAGUUCCUACCCUUGCCCUGAAAGCAUCCUUACAGCUAAAAACUUAGUGGUAGCUGGUACAGCCUGUCAGUGCUGGCUGAAGAGCCAUCUUUGAACAGCAAGAAAAUUCAGGAUACAUGGAGCAAGUGCUCGAAAUCCUUUCUGCCUGUAUGACAUUGCCUCUCAUGGGAUGCAGCACAGCUGUUGAAUGAUCCACUCGCUUUUUGGACAAAACAGAUGAGUUUACGUCCCAGUAUUUCUGCCACCAAGGAAAAGGACUGCGGAUGAGGGGCUACAUUUGUAAGUACUGCAUUUGUGCAGAACGAUGUGAUGACAGCGCACAAAAGAACAGAAAAGGAGGUCAGUGAUGUAUACCUUUUCCUGGCUUGAUUUCUUCUGUAAGACUUGCCUGUUCCUGUACUUGGAAUUAUGUGUAAUCCUAUUAACUGUGAGGUUAUUCAAUUCAGAAGUGAAGCACCAGAAGUCAGCUCAUUGUACAAUGCAUAAAUUACAUUCCAAUAGCUUUAGCAUCACAAUGGUGUCUUGCUUAACUUGUAAGUGAUCAAGAAAAUGAAAUGAUUUUCACUCUAAUUCUCAUUUGUCUAUAAAUAACUAUAAAGAUGAUGCUACAAAAUUAAGGCUAAUCCUUUAUUAUUUAAAAACUACUUACUACACUGCAUCUUCAGACCAAUCCCCUCUCCUAGUUGCCACGGGCAAUGCCUUUUCAAAGUGGACAACAGUAAAAGCUAACAGGUGUUACUGGAACAGGAAUGCAGAAGAAUGAACCAGUGUGGCAUAAUAACGGCACAGAGAAGCUAAGAAGCUGGCUGCCAGCUCAUAGGCUUAAGAACAAGAACCACUUAAGGAAAAGGUUAAGCUGUUAGGGUCCAGACAGGCAAGUGAAGAGAAAUAUCACUCAUUUAACAACUAGCAGCAAUGUUCUGACUUAUUUCUCUACUCAUUUGUUAGUCAAUAAAAUAUUAAGGCUUGGUCCUGAAACAGCUGCUCUGUUCAUUUUUCUGGGGAGUACUUCAGUCCUCCACUGUCCUUUCUGCUUCCCUGGCUAUGUCAAAAAGGUGGCACAUUGGUAAUGUUCAUAGGUUGAAGAGCUUCCUUCUGCCCAUCUGGGCUGGCGCUUCCCAACUGGGCAGCAGCUCCCAGCUUAUUUAUGUGUUUGAGUCUCUUUGGCUGCAUUGAGCUGCCUGGGAAUGCUGGAAAGUUGCCUUCACAACCCC
Long non-coding RNA from Anas platyrhynchos (mallard), 1505 nucleotides. RefSeq lists it as uncharacterized. The record is from RefSeq and is a predicted model, not a curated record. Lineage: Eukaryota; Metazoa; Chordata; Aves; Anseriformes; Anatidae.